AAGAUUGUCAACAUCCCCAAGAAGGCCCUGAUCCUUAUUGAUUCCUUUGGGAAAGAGGACUAUUAUUCAAGAAAAGUUCUCCACAACUGGAGGAACUACCUUAAAAGGAUGGAGAGAAGGGGCUGAGGCAUGGCAGGUGGAGACUGUGCACCACAAUAAACAGCAGGAUGCCAGUAGCUGCAGAGUUUUGGUUAUGAAGUUUGCAGAAAACUUCAUCACUGAGGAAUCCACAGAGGUCGUCACCACAGCGGAGGCUGUGCAUGAAUACAGGAAGCAGAUCGCCUGUAGCUGCUACAAAAUCCGGGUCAGUGUAAAAAUGCUUGGAUAAUCAGUUGCCACAAUGUGGUAAUUACAAU
This is a long non-coding RNA of Cololabis saira (Pacific saury), 356 nucleotides long. RefSeq lists it as uncharacterized. Lineage: Eukaryota; Metazoa; Chordata; Actinopteri; Beloniformes; Belonidae. The record is from RefSeq and is a predicted model, not a curated record. The transcript has 3 exons.